RNAcentral lists this ribosomal RNA (512 nucleotides) under Streptomyces sp. AP31Hx. Its description in RNAcentral is "bacterial SSU rRNA". It matches the Rfam family "Bacterial small subunit ribosomal RNA", at positions 338 to 860 of the family's 1533-position model. Lineage: Bacteria; Bacillati; Actinomycetota; Actinomycetes; Kitasatosporales; Streptomycetaceae. The record is from RNAcentral.
CCUACGGGAGGCAGCAGUGGGGAAUAUUGCACAAUGGGCGAAAGCCUGAUGCAGCGACGCCGCGUGAGGGAUGACGGCCUUCGGGUUGUAAACCUCUUUCAGCAGGGAAGAAGCGAAAGUGACGGUACCUGCAGAAGAAGCGCCGGCUAACUACGUGCCAGCAGCCGCGGUAAUACGUAGGGCGCAAGCGUUGUCCGGAAUUAUUGGGCGUAAAGAGCUCGUAGGCGGCUUGUCACGUCGGAUGUGAAAGCCCGGGGCUUAACCCCGGGUCUGCAUUCGAUACGGGCUAGCUAGAGUGUGGUAGGGGAGAUCGGAAUUCCUGGUGUAGCGGUGAAAUGCGCAGAUAUCAGGAGGAACACCGGUGGCGAAGGCGGAUCUCUGGGCCAUUACUGACGCUGAGGAGCGAAAGCGUGGGGAGCGAACAGGAUUAGAUACCCUGGUAGUCCACGCCGUAAACGUUGGGAACUAGGUGUUGGCGACAUUCCACGUCGUCGGUGCCGCAGCUAACGCAU